GUGCUUGCACCUGAUUGAUUUUGGUCGCCAACGAGUGGCGGACGGGUGAGUAACACGUAGGUAACCUGCCCAGAAGCGGGGGACAACAUUUGGAAACAGAUGCUAAUACCGCAUAACAACGUUGUUCCAUGAACAACGCUUAAAAGAUGGCUUCUCGCUAUCACUUCUGGAUGGACCUGCGGUGCAUUAGCUUGUUGGUGGGGUAACGGCCUACCAAGGCGAUGAUGCAUAGCCGAGUUGAGAGACUGAUCGGCACAAUGGGACUGAGACACGGCCCAUACUCCUACGGGAGGCAGCAGUAGGGAAUCUUCCACAAUGGGCGCAAGCCUGAUGGAGCAACACCGCGUGAGUGAAGAAGGGUUUCGGCUCGUAAAGCUCUGUGUUAAAGAAGAACACGUAUGAGAGUAACUGUUCAUACGUUGACGGUAUUUAACCAGAAAGUCACGGCUAACUACGUGCCAGCAGCCGCGGUAAUACGUAGGUGGCAAGCGUUAUCCGGAUUUAUUGGCGUAAAGAGAGUGCAGGCGGUUUUCUAAGUCUGAUGUGAAAGCCUUCGGCUUAACCGGAGAAGUGCAUCGGAAACUGGAUAACUUGAGUGCAGAAGAGGGUAGUGGAACUCCAUGUGUAGCGGUGGAUGCGUAGAUAUAUGGAAGAACACCAGUGGCGAAGGCGGCUACCUGGUCUGCAACUGACGCUGAGACUCGAAAGCAUGGGUAGCAAC
Molecule: ribosomal RNA, 721 nt
Filed under: Limosilactobacillus fermentum
Lineage: Bacteria; Bacillati; Bacillota; Bacilli; Lactobacillales; Lactobacillaceae
Description: bacterial SSU rRNA
Rfam family: Bacterial small subunit ribosomal RNA
Source: RNAcentral